Molecule: ribosomal RNA, 478 nt
Filed under: uncultured bacterium
Lineage: Bacteria
Description: partial 16S ribosomal RNA
Rfam family: Bacterial small subunit ribosomal RNA
Source: RNAcentral
GAUGAACGCUGGCGGCGUGCUUAACACAUGCAAGUCGAACGGGAAACCUUUUAAUGAAGCUUCGGCAGAUUUAGCUGGUUUCUAGUGGCGGACGGGUGAGUAACGCGUGGGUAACCUGCCUUAUACAGGGGGAUAACAGUCAGAAAUGACUGCUAAUACCGCAUAAGCGCACAGGACCGCAUGGUCGGGUGGGAAAAACUCCGGUGGUAUAAGAUGGACCCGCGUUGGAUUAGCUUGUUGGUGGGGUAACGGCUCACCAAGGCGACGAUCCAUAGCCGGCCUGAGAGGGUGAACGGCCACAUUGGGACUGAGACACGGCCCAGACUCCUACGGGAGGCAGCAGUGGGGAAUAUUGCACAAUGGGGGAAACCCUGAUGCAGCGACGCCGCGUGAAGGAAGAAGUAUCUCGGUAUGUAAACUUCUAUCAGCAGGGAAGAUAGUGACGGUACCUGACUAAGAAGCCCCGGCUAACUACGUG